Solanum lycopersicum (tomato) is the source of this 573-nucleotide long non-coding RNA. RefSeq lists it as uncharacterized. The record is from RefSeq and is marked validated. NCBI's taxonomy places the organism in Eukaryota, Viridiplantae, Streptophyta, Magnoliopsida, Solanales, Solanaceae.
AAGCAUGGAGCAUUUGAUUUAAUGAAGCCUCUUCUUAAGUUAUAACUCCCAUUCUGCACGGAUGAUCUCUGAAGAUUUUCAAUAAUUUCAUACCAUUUUAAGGUUUACCAUGGAUGAGAGAAGAUGGUGAUGCACUUGACAUUGUUGCCUUAUCUAGAAUGAAAUAAUUAUGUGCUGAAGUAAGCAACAUUAAAGAUCUCUUUGGCUAAAUUUCGUCGCGAAUUGUGUAUCCAUGGUGUGGGUGUGUCGCACACAUUUUUAUAUGCUAAUUUAUUUGUAGAUUUGAUUAUGAUAUCAAUAAUUUAGUUGUAGAGGACAGUAUUUUAUUGGUCUUGUUUUGAGAUUCCGUAGAUAAUUAUUAGGUAUUAUAAUUAUCAUAUUUAAUUUCUCUAUCGGGGUUCACUUUUGCCUAUCAAAGUUAGUCGCGUUGGUUCAAGCCCAUUACUGCUCAUGAGGUAAUUAAUGAGAAAGGAUCAUGACAUAUGGUUAUAUUGAGAAUGGCUUAAAGAACGUCAUCAUUAUAAAUAAAUUCAACAAUUUCUAAAAACUAUUUCAAUGGGAACUUAUUUACGA